UACAGAGGGUGCGAGCGUUAAUCGGAUUUACUGGGCGUAAAGCGUGCGUAGGCGGCUUUCUAAGUCGGAUGUGAAAUCCCCGAGCUUAACUUGGGAAUUGCAUUCGAUACUGGGAAGCUAGAGUAUGGGAGAGGAUGGUAGAAUCCCAGGUGUAGCGGUGAAAUGCGUAGAUAUCCGAGAGAACACCGAUGGCGAAGGCAGCCAUCUGGCCUAAUACUGACGCUGAGGUACGAAAGCAUGGGGAGCAAACAGG
This 253-nucleotide unclassified non-coding RNA is filed under the name uncultured Moraxellaceae bacterium. Its description in RNAcentral is "contains 16S-23S intergenic spacer region". It matches the Rfam family "Bacterial small subunit ribosomal RNA", at positions 524 to 776 of the family's 1533-position model. The record is from RNAcentral. Lineage: Bacteria; Pseudomonadati; Pseudomonadota; Gammaproteobacteria; Moraxellales; Moraxellaceae.